Molecule: small RNA, 28 nt
Filed under: Bombyx mori (domestic silkworm)
Lineage: Eukaryota; Metazoa; Arthropoda; Insecta; Lepidoptera; Bombycidae
Description: ovarian small RNA-24849
Source: RNAcentral
UCAAUCUGGUUCCGAUGUCCACAUGGCU